This 497-nucleotide ribosomal RNA is filed under the name uncultured bacterium. RNAcentral's name for it is "partial 16S ribosomal RNA". It matches the Rfam family "Bacterial small subunit ribosomal RNA", at positions 28 to 507 of the family's 1533-position model. The record is from RNAcentral.
GAUGAACGCUGGCGGCGUGCCUAAUACAUGCAAGUCGAGCGAACGGACGAGAAGCUUGCUUCUCUGAUGUUAGCGGCGGACGGGUGAGUAACACGUGGAUAACCUACCUAUAAGACUGGGAUAACUUCGGAAAACCGGCGCUAAUACCGGAUAAUCUUUUGAACCGCAUGGUUCAAAAGUGAAAUACGGUCUUGCUGUCACUUAUAGCUGGAUCCGCGCUGCAUUAGCUAGUUGGUAAGGUCACGGCCUACCAAGGCAACGAUGCAUAGCCGAACUGAGAGGCGGGUAGCCCACACGGGAACUGGAACGGGGUCCAGGCGACUGAGGUACGCAGCAGUAGGGAAUCGUCCGCAAUGGGCGGAAGCCUGGCGGAACGACGGCGCGUGAGUGAUGAAGACGUUGGGUGCGUGAAACUCUGUUAUGAGGGAAGAACAUAUGUGGAAGUAACUGUGCACAGCUUGACGGUACCUAAUAAGAAAGCCACGGCUAACUACGUG